GAUGAACGCUGGCGGCGUGCCUAAUACAUGCAAGUCGAGCGAACAGACCAGGAGCUUGCUCCUCUGACGUUAGCCGCGGACGGGUGAGUAACACGUGGAUAACCUACCUAUAAGACUGGGAUCACUUCGGGACACCGGCGCUAAUACCGGAUAAUAUAUUGAACCGCAUGGUUCAAUAGUGAAAGACGGCUUUGCUGUCUCUUAUAGAUGGAUCCGCGCCGCAUUAGCUAGUUGGUAGGGUAACGGCUUACCAAGGCGACGAUGCGUAUCCGACCUGUGUGGGGGAUCGGCCACCCUAGAACUGAAACACGGUCCAGACUCCUACGAGAGGCAGCAGACGGGAAUCUUCCGCAACGGGCGGAAGCCUUACGGAGCAACGCCGCGUGUGAGAUGAAAGUGUUGGGAUCGUAAAACUCUGUUAUUAGGGGAGAACAGAUGUGUAAGUAACUGUGCACGUCUUGACGGUACCUAAUCAGAAAGCCACGGCUAACUACGUG
This 497-nucleotide ribosomal RNA is filed under the name uncultured bacterium. RNAcentral's name for it is "partial 16S ribosomal RNA". It matches the Rfam family "Bacterial small subunit ribosomal RNA", at positions 28 to 507 of the family's 1533-position model. The record is from RNAcentral.